UGCCUCAGUAACGGCGAGUGAAGCGGCAACAGCUCAAAUUUGAAAUCUGGCGCCUUGGGCGUCCGAGUUGUAAUUUGUAGAGGGUGUCUCGGGUGGAGUUUCCGGUCCAAGUUCCUUGGAACAGGAGGCCAGAGAGGGUGAGAGUCCCGUAUCCGGCUGGAGACGUCGCCCGUGUGAGACCCCUUCGACGAGUCGAGUUGUUUGGGAAUGCAGCUCCAAAUGGGUGGUAAAUUCCAUCUAAAGCUAAAUACGGGCCAGAGACCGAUAGCGCACAAGUAGAGUGAUCGAAAGAUGAAAAGCACUUUGAAAAGAGAGUCAAACAGUACGUGAAAUUGUUGAAAGGGAAGCGUAUACGGCCAGACUUGGGCGCGGAGGCUCAACCCGUCUUCUGGCGGGUGCACUCCUCCGCGGACAGGCCAGCAUCGGUUUGGGCGGCCGGACAAAGGCGUCGGGAACGUAGCACCCCUCGGGGUGUGUUAUAGCCCGGCGCGUCAUGCGGCCAGCCGGGACCGAGGACCGCGUUUAAUCACGGAUGCUGGCGUAAUGGGCGUAUACGGCCCGUCUUGAAACACGGACCAAGGAGUCUAACAUCUAUGCGAGUGUUUGGGUGGCAAGCCCGGGCGCGCAAUGAAAGUGAACGGAGGUGGGAGGGCAACCGCACCAUCGACCGAUCCCGAAGUUUACGGAAGGAUUUGAGUAAGAGCAUAGCUGUUGGGACCCGAAAGAUGGUGAACUAUGCGUGAAUAGGGUGAAGCCAGAGGAAACUCUGGUGGAGGCUCGCAGCGGUUCUGACGUGCAAAUCGAUCGUCAAAUUUGCGUAUAGGGGCGAAAGACUAAUCGA
This 841-nucleotide ribosomal RNA is filed under the name Yunnanomyces phoenicis. Its description in RNAcentral is "partial large subunit ribosomal RNA". It matches the Rfam family "Eukaryotic large subunit ribosomal RNA", at positions 76 to 938 of the family's 3401-position model. The record is from RNAcentral. Lineage: Eukaryota; Fungi; Ascomycota; Dothideomycetes; Venturiales; Sympoventuriaceae.